CCUCUCCGAGACUCUGAGUUAGUCUCCUAUGUGUUAGCAGGUCUUGGCUCUGACUAUGAUCCUCUCAUCACCUCUAUUACCACCCGCAUUGAUCCUAUCUCUCUUGAAGAACUCUAUGGCCAUUUACUCACCCAUGAGC
Molecule: small nucleolar RNA, 139 nt
Organism: Alnus glutinosa
Lineage: Eukaryota; Viridiplantae; Streptophyta; Magnoliopsida; Fagales; Betulaceae
Product: small nucleolar RNA Z247
Exons: 1
Source: RefSeq, a predicted model, not a curated record